RNAcentral lists this ribosomal RNA (686 nucleotides) under uncultured Ascomycota. Its description in RNAcentral is "LSU rRNA". It matches the Rfam family "Eukaryotic large subunit ribosomal RNA", at positions 399 to 1106 of the family's 3401-position model. The record is from RNAcentral. Lineage: Eukaryota; Fungi; Ascomycota.
GUGAAAUUGUUGAAAGGGAAGCGCUUGCAACCAGACCUGCCUGCAGUUGCUCAUCCGGGCUUUUGCCCGGUGCACUCUUCUGCUGUCAGGCCAGCAUCGGUUCGGGCGGUCGGAUAAAGGCUUCGGGAAUGUAGCUCCUCUCGAGGAGUGUUAUAGCCCGUUGCGAAAUGCGGCCAGCCUGAACUGAGGUCCGCGCUUCGGCUAGGAUGCUGGCGUAAUGGUUGUAAGCGGCCCGUCUUGAAACACGGACCAAGGAGUCUAACAUCUGUGCGAGUGUUUGGGUGUCAAACCCGUACGCGUAAUGAAAGUGAACGGAGGCGGGAACCCCUCGGGGUGCACCGUCGACCGAUCCUGAUGUCUUCGGAUGGAUUUGAGUAAGAGCAUAGCUGUUGGGACCCGAAAGAUGGUGAACUAUGCCUGAAUAGGGUGAAGCCAGAGGAAACUCUGGUGGAGGCUCGCAGCGGUUCUGACGUGCAAAUCGAUCGUCAAAUUUGGGCAUAGGGGCGAAAGACUAAUCGAACUAUCUAGUAGCUGGUUCCUGCCGAAGUUUCCCUCAGGAUAGCAGUAACGUUUUCAGUUUUAUGAGGUAAAGCGAAUGAUUAGAGGCCUGGGGGUUGAAACAACCUUCACCUAUUCUCAAACUUUAAAAUAUGUAAGAAGUCCUUGUUGCUUAGUUGAACGUGGAC